UUGACGUUCAAAAAUACAGAUUAACUCACGAUGAUUUUAAAUUUGCGUUAUCUAUCCCAGUUUUAGUGGUAGAAAAUUGAAUUUUCGCGUCUCUAGAACCACAACUUGUCACAUGUAUUUUGUUGUUGACUGCAUUCUUGCAUGCGGAUGAUUGACAGGUAAUUAAGGCGACGAAUCGUACCCACGCUAGCUCGGUUCACUGCAUGCCAAACCCUCGAACACUAUUUUGGAUUCUUUCUCAGUUUAGAGCGAGCGUACAACUGACAAACGACUUCUGUAGCCGAAAAAAGCGACACUGGGUUGCGGCUUGUUCAACAGGUAAGGUUUUCAACAUCCACUCAGUAGAUGCCAUAAGAAGCAAAAGAUUGCCCCAUUGGAAAUUUGCUUCAAGAAAGACAACUAGCUUGGCUCGGUGAAAAGGUGAGGUUAUACAUUUUCUCGUUUUUGCCACUUACUUUACUUUCCUAUGAAACGUUCGAUUCUUGUGUGGGCGUUUAGUUUUUCUUUUCGAAGAGGGACCUUUGAGAAACGUUUUGUUCUCUGUAAUUUCUUAUGUUCUGGUUCGUUGCACGGUGUAUUAGCUCAUAUUCGUGACGCGAAAUGAACACUCGAGGCCCUUUCGUUAAACCACUGUCUAAGUAUACUCAAUGCUAUACGUAUGUGACUGGAAUUUCAAUCGAGAUAUUAGCGAUCACCUUGGAAUUCCUGUUGCAUUAGUUGUGAAAUUUCUGGCUUAUGCAAAUAAAUACUUCAAACAUUUGGCAGUCAUCAAUAUAUUGCUUUUGAAGAGUUCUCUCAGACGCACUUGUAUUGGAUCAUGGAGAUUCAUAAAACUAGCUUCGCUCAUUUCUACAAAUUGUCUCUUUAUGAACAAAACCUUUUUUCCAUCAAAAACUGUUUUCCCUAUAUUCUAAAGUAAAACAGAUAAGUAUUCAGGUCUUGUUUAUUGUCUAGAUCAAGCUUUUUAUAGCGAAGAUUUAGAAUAGAUCAUGACAUUAAAUGCAACAUUGAGUAUUGAAGUUUAUGGACCAUUUUGACACAAACUAUAAAUGUUGUUUUGUGGCUUAGUUCUUGGCGUAAUUCUUUGGCGUAUUCUUAAAUGGGGUCGUUCUUUGGUGUCGUUCUUUGGCGUAAUCUCUUGUCACAGUGAAUUCACUACCUUGGAUAAUAAACAGUAGGUGUUUUACAGACAAUCCUGACACGGUUCAUGAAAUAUGUCACUUCCUGACACUAUAAAAUUAAUGCAAAAUGAAAUAUUGGAAGUCCCUUAUGCAGAAGAAACAAUAUCCUAAAGAAAUUAUUAGUAAAUAUAAUUUUUGUUUUUCACUUAAGUCCAUCAAAACUGAACUAGUGUUUUGAACACUGUUGUUUUUCAACAAAGUGUGCUUUUGAAAACACAUUAUCCGUCAACUAAGUAUUGUUUUAUUUAAUAAGGUAGUGUUUUGUUGAGUAAGAAGAAAGCCAAGGGCAUUUAUAUUUCAAUUUCAGCUUGUAAAUUGAAGGCUAGUGUCUAUUAAACAUUGUCUUCUCUCAGACUAUUUCAUGACCAGCAUUAAACUUGAAAAAUCAGGAAUAACGAUUUGUUCUCUUGAAACUCAUCUUGAGUCUUGAAGAAACCGGUCAAAUAACUCGCAUGUCACUCAGACCACCCUUUUUUUAUUGGUAAUUUAUGCUCAUAGUUGUACAAAUUUGUGGCACUUGCUUGCUCGUGUGUGCGUGUGUGUAUGUGUGUUGUAUUUAUCAGGCAAACAGUAUGUUCAGUUGAGCCUUGAUGAAUGGAAAACUCUAGAAGCGGUAAGCAUUAUCCUGUGACAAUAUUAUUGAGUGGUUUGCUCCUAAUGUUGCCACAGUUUUGGUGAAGUGCAUAUAUGUAAAUUGAAUUCCAGUGAAUGUAAUUAAGCUUGGCCUUUUCAAUCCUGACUUUUGUUUGCACUGAACAAGUUACUCUUGGUUUGAAUUGUGUACCCAUUUACAGAGCUGUACAGUAAGUAGAUCUACAUGUACUAAUAAUUCAAAGCAGUUUAGAAAUUGUUAGAGUUAUUUUAAAGUAUUUGACCAAAUGAAAGAUAAAAGCAAUGUUGGUUGUUACAUAACUCAUAUGGUAUUAGAAGUAGCCACUGACAGUAGGCAUACGCUAUUGAAAAAGUUGACUAAAGUUGUCAGUAACUCAUAUUGUAGUAAAACCUGCAGAACACUGUUAACUGCCGCUUAUAAGCGCUGGGCUUAUAUACAUUUUCGUAAGGGUUUUUAGAUGGGCCUUUAAACGGAGGGGCUUGUAUCUGAGGGGGCUUAUAACCGGAAUUAAAUAAAUGUUUUGAAAUGAGCUAUGCUCUGCACAUGUUGGUCGCAAUAGAUUUUUCAUUUAAUACUGGUAAUUUAGCUUUAAAAUAUCACAAUAAAAUAAAUUCAAAACAAGGAAAGCUAGGGGGCAGGGGGGGGGGUGUUUAUAUCUGGGGUUGGGAGGUGGGAUUGUAACUGGAUGGAAUUUUUCGUGUACAGGUAUAUAGGCCUAUAACUAGGUAGAAUCAUAAGUGAAGCGGCUUAUAAGUGGCAGUUUAUGGUAUGAGUCUGAGACAGACUUCAUCAACUGUUUGAACCGUGUCGUCUCCUGACUACAGCUAGUCCAGAAGUGUACAUCAUGUUGAGCAACUUUUGUCAACAUUAUAUUAUGUAGAUACUUCAUAAUUAAAAGUAGAUGGCCACAGAAGCUAUUUUGAAGUAUUUGACCAAAGUUAAAAACAAAGUUGGUAGUUGUUAAGCCAUUGACUCCGGUGCUGCCUGUAACCGCCUGA
Molecule: long non-coding RNA, 2792 nt
Organism: Orbicella faveolata
Lineage: Eukaryota; Metazoa; Cnidaria; Anthozoa; Scleractinia; Merulinidae
Source: RefSeq, a predicted model, not a curated record